RNAcentral lists this ribosomal RNA (258 nucleotides) under uncultured bacterium. RNAcentral's name for it is "partial 16S ribosomal RNA". It matches the Rfam family "Bacterial small subunit ribosomal RNA", at positions 96 to 354 of the family's 1533-position model. The record is from RNAcentral.
CGGCGGACGGGUGAGUAACGCGUGGGUAACCUGCCUUAUACAGGGGGAUAACAGUUAAAAAUGACUGCUAAUACCGCAUAAGCGCACAGUACCGCAUGGUAGUGUGUGAAAAACUCCGGUGGUAUAAGAUGGACCCGCGUCUGAUUAGCCAGUUGGCGGGGUAACGGCCCACCAAAGCGACGAUCAGUAGCCGACCUGAGAGGGUGACCGGCCACAUUGGGACUGAGACACGGCCCAAACUCCUACGGGAGGCAGCAG